RNAcentral lists this ribosomal RNA (446 nucleotides) under uncultured bacterium. Its description in RNAcentral is "bacterial SSU rRNA". It matches the Rfam family "Bacterial small subunit ribosomal RNA", at positions 335 to 762 of the family's 1533-position model. The record is from RNAcentral.
ACUCCUACGGGAGGCAGCAGUGGGAAUAUUGGACAAUGGGGGCAACCCUGAUCCAGCAAUGCCGCGUGUGUGAAGAAGGCCUUGCGGGUUGUAAAGCACUUUCGUUGGGGAGGAUGGUGCGCAGUUCAAAUAGGGCUGCGUAUUGACGUUACCCAAAGAAGAAGCACCGGCUAACUCUGUGCCAGCAGCCGCGGGUAAUACAGAGGGUGCAAGCGUUAAUCGGACUGACUGGGCGUAAAGGGUCGUGUAGGCGGCCCGUUAAGUCCGGGUNUGAAAUGGCAGGGCUUUAAACCUUGUCAGGUCACUCGAGAGCUGGCGAGUCUAGAGAGCAGGAGAGGAAAGGGGAAUUUCCGGUGUAGCGGUGAAAUGCGUAGAUAUCGGCAAGGAACACCAGUGGCGAAGGCGCCUUUACUGGCCUACCGUCUGACGCUGAGGCGCGAAAGCGU